This is a long non-coding RNA of Apis dorsata (giant honeybee), 416 nucleotides long. RefSeq lists it as uncharacterized. NCBI's taxonomy places the organism in Eukaryota, Metazoa, Arthropoda, Insecta, Hymenoptera, Apidae. The record is from RefSeq and is a predicted model, not a curated record. The transcript has 2 exons.
UAUAAUAUAUAAUUUGCACGUCUAUCUUAUAAUUGUUAAUUACUAUUUGUUAAUCUGCUAUUCAUUGUAUUUUCAAAAACACGGAACUGACCUGAUACAAAGGUUACAUUUUUGACCUUGGUCAAAAAAUUGCCAAGCGCACACAACAAGAGACAAGUGACCACGCUCAUUUCUCGAGGAUCAAGCUAUAUGUGCGAACUAAAGCUUCUUCGUAGUAUCUUUUAGUAAGAAAGAAAGCAGGGUGCGUCAUCGAGGGGAAUAAAUAAACCGUGACAUCGAGAAAAUGAGAGCGGAGCGAGUACGCUAGAUACUCUCAAUUUGCUCGAUCAACUGGAGAAAAUAGAUAUCGUUUCAUGUUUGCAUCAUUCGAUGAAAUUUUUAUUGUUCACCAUUUAUUAUUAUUUUUAACAAAAAAA